GUGCUCCUCUCACUGUCAUUGUGAUUGUCAUUAUUACUGCUGUUGUGACAGUCAUUUUUAACUGCCUUCCCCAUCCUGCAGGCGGGAGAUCAGAUAGAACGAAUGUUCCACAUCCUUCUUGACCCCCAAGGUUUGCGGGGUGGGCAACAGGGCGUGUGGGGUCCUGGGGCCACACUAGGAGGAGAAGGGACUGAAAGGAGGGGGUCUGGUCAGGUGGGUAAUCUGAGCCCCUGCCCAGCUCUGCAUGCCUUGAUGCCCCCAGUCCUGGAGCCCACGUGACACGAAGGUUGUGCCCCUGCAGGUCAGACCCAGACAGAGCUCUUGCCAAGACGGGACGUGCCCGACACGCAGGUGGAAGUGUUUGUCAGCGUCCAAGGUGACAUCCUUGCCGAGACCAUCCUGGGCAGCCUGACUCCCACGGAAGUACAGCAGCUGCUGAGGGUCCCCAGCGGCUGUCCUGAACAGACACUGAGCAAACUGGCGCCCGUGGUCCUCCUGAUGGGCUACCUGGACACCACGGGACAGUGUUGCUCCGGGACCAGGUGAUGAAGAACAUCGUCACAGGUUUCAUCCAGAUGCUCAGCCACCAGAGUAGAGACGGCACCUUCCAUGUCAUCAAGAGGAGGCCCACAGCUCCUGGCCCUGCUCGCCUGUGCCCCGUCACAGUGUGGGCAGCCUGGACACUCCUGGGACCCAUCUCUCCCUCACCCACCCCACAAACGUGACCAUUCCUGGCCUUCCUCCCCCAGGACCUGACUCCUCCCUGUCACCCAGGGAACACACCCAUCCCCCCAGCCUUCCUCCCUACCAGCCUCCAGAAGUGGCUUUUGAACACAGUGUGGUGGGGCGCUCUCCUCCUCCAACACCUUCUAUGGCUCACAGCUGCCCUCCUCUUCAUCCCCUCUAAAGCCUCUCUUCCCAUGAUCCCUGCUCACCAUUCACUCUUUGUUUUGGGGGGGGCAGUUACUGGGGAUUGAACUCAGGGGCACUCAACCACUGAGCCACAUCCCCAGCCCUAUUUUGUAUUUUAUUAAGAGACAGGGUCUCACUGAGUUGCUUAGGGCUUUGAACUUGCCAUCCUCCUGCCCCAGCCUCCUGAGCCGCUGGGAUGUCAGAGAUACGCCCCUGCACCCGGCCACUUGGCCAUCUCUAUAAACACCAGCUGUUGGAUUUAGGGCCCCCAUUAAUCCGGUGUGAGCUCUCCGAGACUGCCUGCAUCCACAAAGACCCUAUUUUCAAAUAAGAUCACGUUCUGAGGCUCCAGAUGAACAUGAAACUUAGGGGACACUGUUCUGCUCAGGGGCCAGGGUGGCAGCUGUGGCUGCAGAGGGGUUGAAUGCUGUGGGGCAUUUCCUAGCAAUGGGAAGGCUUCACCCCUCUGGCCCUCAGUGUCCUCCUCAGAAAAAAUGGGGCUACCACGAGGAUACUCUGAUGUAACUCUGAGAGCCUCGCCUCCUGGGCUGUUGACGUCCCUCAGGGGGACAGACCCCGCCCGGGCGACCCUGAGAAGGCUCCUCCUCCCUCGCCCCGCCUCACCUCCAACAGCAUCCAGGCCAGAGCUGGGCACCCAGGAGACCCCCAGAGUCUGGAAGGAAGGCUGGGGAGGGUGUCCCCAAGACGCUGAGGGAGUUGCACUGUCCUUCUGCCUCCACAGGGAGGCUACAAAGGCUCCGAAGCAGAUGUAUCCCUCAGGGCUCUUGUCCUGGUCGCCCUGAGGGAGGGGAAGGAGUUGUG
Molecule: long non-coding RNA, 1734 nt
Organism: Marmota monax (woodchuck)
Lineage: Eukaryota; Metazoa; Chordata; Mammalia; Rodentia; Sciuridae
Exons: 3
Source: RefSeq, a predicted model, not a curated record